UACAGGUAGGCGAGGCGAGUAGCCUAAGGGGCUCGAGUGAUUUACGGAAAAGGAACUCGGCAAAAUGACCCCGUAACUUCGGGAUAAGGGGUGCCAGUAGUAGCUGACCUAAUCAAGGGAAGGCGAGGCUGGCCGCAGAGAAUCGUCUCAAGCGACUGUUUAGCAAAAACACAGGAGCGUGCUAAGGCAUUGUCCAAGCCUACGUAUACGCUCUGACUCCUGCCCGGUGCCGGAAGGUUAAGGCAAGUCGUCAGCCGCAAGGCGAAGCGAUGAACCGAAGCCCCGGUAAACGGCGGCCGUAACGAUAACGGUCCUAAGGUAGCGAAAUUCCUUGUCGGGUAAGUUCCGACCUGCACGAAUGGAGUAACGACUUGAGAGCUGUCUCUUCCGUAAGCUCGGCGAAAUAGAAGCAUCGGUGAGGAUUCCGAUUACCCGCGACAGGACAAAAAGACCCCAUGCACCUUUACUACAACCUGUCAUUGAUUGUCGGUAUGCGCUGCGUAGCAUAGGUGGGAGCCAUUGAGACCGCGGUUUUGGCUGCGGUGGAGGCACCAGUGAAAUACCACCCUUCGUUUACUAACAAUCUCACUCAGCCGGCAACACCGGCGAGGACCGUGGCAGGCGGGUAGUUUGACUGGGGCGGUCGCCUCCUAAAGAGUACCGGAGGCGCGCAAUGGUUGGCUCAGUGCGGUCGGUAAUCGCACGUGGAGUGUAUACGCAAAAGCCAGCCUGACUGCGAGCGCUACAGCGCGAGCAGGGACGAAAGUCGGUGUAAGUGAUCCGGCGGGACCGUGUGGACGGCCCGUCGCUCAUCGGAUAAAAGGUACGCUGGGGAUAACAGGCUUAUCGCGCCCGAGAGUUCACAUCGACGGCGCGGUUUGGCACCUCGAUGUCGGCUUGUCACAUCCUGGGGCUGGAGAAGGUCCCAAGGGUCCGGCUGUUCGCCGGUUAAAGUGGCACAUGAGCUGGGUUCAGAACGUCGUGAGACAGUUCGGUCUGUAUCCGUCGUGGGCGUGGGAGUGUUGAGGGACGUCGACCUUAGUACGAGAGGACCGGGUCGAAGCGACCGCUCGUGUACGGGCUGUUCCGCCAGGGGCAGCGCCCGGUAGCGAUGUCGCGCGAAGAUAACCGCUGAAAGCAUCUAAGUGGGAAACUUUUCCCAAGAUGAACACUCCUGGAUCUUAAGAUCCCUGUAGGGCCGUAGGAGACUACUACGUUGAUAGGCGGCAGAUGCACGGCACGUAAGUGCUUUAGUCGAGCCGUACUAAUCGCCCGUGAAGUUUGAUCUC
This 1289-nucleotide ribosomal RNA is filed under the name metagenome. Its description in RNAcentral is "bacterial LSU rRNA". It matches the Rfam family "Bacterial large subunit ribosomal RNA", at positions 1658 to 2925 of the family's 2925-position model. The record is from RNAcentral.